This 301-nucleotide ribosomal RNA is filed under the name uncultured bacterium. RNAcentral describes it as "partial 16S ribosomal RNA". It matches the Rfam family "Bacterial small subunit ribosomal RNA", at positions 509 to 807 of the family's 1533-position model. The record is from RNAcentral.
CAUCCGCCGCGGUAAAACGGAGGGUGCGAGCGUUAAUCGGAAUUACUGGGCGUAAAGCGUACGCAGGCGGUUCGUUAAGUCUGUUGUGAAAGCCCCGGGCUCAACCUGGGAAUGGCAAUGGAUACUGGCGAGCUAGAGUAUGGGAGAGGAUGGUAGAAUUCCAGGUGUAGCGGUGAAAUGCGUAGAGAUCUGGAGGAAUACCGAUGGCGAAGGCAGCCAUCUGGCCUAAUACUGACGCUGAGGUACGAAAGCAUGGGGAGCAAACAGGAUUAGAUACCCCUGUAGUCCCUGUCUCUUAUAC